Molecule: long non-coding RNA, 2225 nt
Organism: Cynoglossus semilaevis (tongue sole)
Lineage: Eukaryota; Metazoa; Chordata; Actinopteri; Pleuronectiformes; Cynoglossidae
Exons: 2
Source: RefSeq, a predicted model, not a curated record
AAAUCAUCUUUGGUCACAUUUUAAAGUAAAUCAUGUAGAAAACUACAUUAGUGUAGGCAUGUUACCUCUAGUUCCACUAGGACAGUGAUUCCCAAGCCUGACCUUGUGCCCCUAAGGGUCACCUGACCCCUACUUUGGGAACCACUGCACUAGAAGAACAGUGAAGUGUUGGAAAAUGCUGCUGUAACGCUGGUCUGGUGUUUAACCGCACAUUUCAUAUUUUUCUUUGCCGUCAUCGACGCACCACAUGCGGGUGUUUGUGUACGUGUACCAUGUUGUUUCUGUUUGUAAACUUCUACUUCUGAGGCCAUGUGAAGUCUGUACUGUACAGGAAGCACUUUGCCAGUGUAGUUUCUUACCUGAAAACGUUACUCAUGAGGAGGUUGCUUCUCCCUCGGUAUCAACAGGAACUAUCGUCACUUCACCUGCUCAGGAAUCGUGAAGGAUUUCUGACCGUAGCCUCCCCACGUGUAUUUACCGGGACAUUGUCGACAACUAUUUUAAUAAAUGCUGUAAAUCAAUACACGUAGUGAGGUGCAGGAUAAAGGAAAAAAACAUCUAUAUACUGUAUGUGUCUAGUAGCACCUCUUUUUAUACUGUCUGUAUUGAUGUUAGUUAUUGUGUGGGUGUGGGUGUGAUGUACAGAUUCAUGUCUAGUGCUGCAAAUACUUUUAUGCAAGUAAAGUGUCAGAGAAAUAUAUAUAUAUUCUAUAAAAAGUUGUUUUUAUUUUGCUAAGUGCAGUCUGGUUUUUAGCAAUAAGUAUCCCAUACCCUGUGAUGUAUGGACUCUAGGCAAAGAAUAUUUAGCGAGACGAUAUUUUCGCUGUCGGUUUCAUCGUCUGUCCGUGUGUUUAGCCGCAGUGAUGAUUCGAACAAGAGCUUACAGUACGUGCCUUGUCAAAGAUGUGGCUGUGCAGGUCUGACCUAAACCUUGGCACGUGGAUGCCAAAAGGCAGAAGUUGACCGGAGUGAACAGGUGUGUGUUUGGAUUCCUACGAAGGCUCACGUGUCUUAAUGUUGGUCUCAAAUGAUGUACGUAACUCACGGUUCUCUUCCAUUUGUACCUGCUAACUACUGUGUCUGUGUACGGUGUUCUGCUGCCACUGCUGUGUGAUCAGUAUUGAAAUAAUUUAUUACUCCUAAAUCGUCUGUAAAUGUCAACUUGUUGUACUCUCAACACUAAAACCAUAGUUUUCUAAGAGGAAGUUUCACUUGUUUCAGUCUGCAGUUCCACAUCUAUGGACCAGUGUGUUUAUCCACUGUUACACCCACGUUUUUGAAUAUGAUGUUGUGAUGGUGUUUAAUGGACAUGUAUUGAUGCAUAAACCUUAUCACCACUUCAGUGCAGUGCUCACCACCAUCACUGAGAGAAACUGACUUUGUUCUGAUGUACAGUGACAUCAGUGAAGCUAACUGCCUCCUGCUGUCCGCCUGGAUGAUGACCUCUGGGUCAGAGACGAACGGUGCAAAGCAAUAAAAGUGUGAACAUGGUGAAUUCCUCCUGUCGUCUUUUUGGUUGGUGAGUGAACACUAUCUGUUUGUUGUUACAGGUAAGUCAAAUGUGACACAACUGAUUUCAUGUUGCCAGGAAAUAUUUUGUUUUAAUUGUGAAGUUGUUUCGUUGCUUUCCGGACAUAACCUCCAGGUGGCAGCAGAGUCCUGGUUAACGCACUUCAUAACUACAGGUUGUUGAAUCUGAUAUUGUAGGACCCUAAUAGAAUAAUACUGUACGUAAAAUAGAGUUAUUCGUAAUAUGUUUUUUUAAUCGACUUAAUUUUUAUUGCCUAACAUGUAUAUUUAAGGGCGCGAAAACUUUAAUUUGUAUCCGUAUGAAGAUCAAUCCAGCUAAACGGAAACUAACGUUCACAGCAGGUCAGCUCUGGUGAUCACAUCCAGGUGAUAAUGUGAAGAAAAAGAGACCAUGAGGACAUUACCUUAAAGGUAUGUUUAAUAAUAACAACUAUAACUCUUAAUACACAACAGCGGCAGCCAUUUUGACAGGCUGGAUUUGAGCACAUGUGGUUUUGCCCCACAUGAAUUUGUCAGUUUGAUUCAUUACAAUGUUCUUUCUUUCUCUUCUCUCACCACCAUCUCCUCACUUUGUUCUUUCCGGCUGAUUUCAGCACGGAUCGACUUUUACUAUAGCCAACUCAAGUUAACUUUGUGUUAACACUUUCAAAUGUCCUGUCACAUUUUGUCCAAUCUGCGGUAAAAAAACAAAACAA